GAAAUGCGAUAAGUAAUGUGAUUUGCAGAAUUCAGUGAAUCAUCGAAUCUUUGAACGCACCUUGCGCUCCUUGGUAUUCCUUGGAGCAUGCCUGUUUGAGUAUCAUGAAAUCUUCAAAGUAAAUCUUUUGUUAACUCAAUUGGUUUCUACUUUGGUAUUGGAGGUCUUUGCAGCUUCACACCUGCUCCUCUUUGUUCAUUAACUGGAUCUCAGUGUUAUGCUUGGUUCCACUCGGCGUGAUAAGUUAUCUAUCGCUGAGGACACUGUAAAAGGUGGCCAAGGUAAAUGCAGAUGAACCGCUUCUAAUAGUCCAUUGACUUGGACAAUACUUUUAUGAUCUGAUCUCAAAUCAGGUAGGACUACCCGCUGAACUUAAGC
Molecule: unclassified non-coding RNA, 378 nt
Filed under: plant metagenome
Description: partial contains 5.8S ribosomal RNA, internal transcribed spacer 2, and large subunit ribosomal RNA
Rfam family: 5.8S ribosomal RNA (bases 1-105)
Source: RNAcentral